AGACUCAGGCCUGGCUGUGGGGCUCAGGAAGCAGAGUCUGGGGGCAUCUCCACCAUGGACUGGGCUGUACUUCUCCUCACUGUCCUGGCUCACUGCACAGGGUCUUGGGCCCAGUUUGUGCUGACUCAGCCCGGCUCUGUGUCUGGGUCUCUGGGACAGAAGGCCACCAUCUCCUGCACUCGCAGCAGCGGCAACAUUGGGAGCAGAUAUGUGCACUGGUACCAACAGCGCCCAGGCAGGGGCCCCACCACUGUGAUCUAUGAUAAUAACAAAAGACCCUCUGGGGUUCCAGAUCGGUUCUCUGGCUCCAUAGACAGUUCCUCCAACACUGCCUCCCUGACCAUCUCAGGGCUGCAGCCUGAGGACGAGGCUGACUACUAUUGUCUGUCUUCUGAGAGUAGUGGUUAUUACAUGGUGCUGCAGAGUCAGGGGGAAGUGCGUGUGGGUCCUGGAGACAGACAGGAGCAGCGGGUGGGUGAGGAGCAGACACUGAGGACAGAAGACAGCACGGCCCCCUUGAGCACGUGA
Non-coding RNA from Phyllostomus hastatus (greater spear-nosed bat), 528 nucleotides. Lineage: Eukaryota; Metazoa; Chordata; Mammalia; Chiroptera; Phyllostomidae. The record is from the annotation of a RefSeq genome assembly.